UACGGAGGGUGCGAGCGUUAAUCGGAAUUACUGGGCGUAAAGCGUGCGUAGGUGGCUUGAUAAGCCGGUUGUGAAAGCCCCGGGCUCAACCUGGGAACGGCAUCCGGAACUGUCAGGCUAGAGUGCGGCAGAGGGUAGUGGAAUUUCCUGUGUAGCGGUGAAAUGCGUAGAUAUAGGAAGGAACACCAGUGGCGAAGGCGGCCACCUGGACCAACACUGACACUGAGGCACGAAAGCGUGGGGAGCGAACAGG
Molecule: unclassified non-coding RNA, 253 nt
Filed under: uncultured Gammaproteobacteria bacterium
Lineage: Bacteria; Pseudomonadati; Pseudomonadota; Gammaproteobacteria
Description: contains 16S-23S intergenic spacer region
Rfam family: Bacterial small subunit ribosomal RNA
Source: RNAcentral